UAGGGAAUCUUCCGCAAUGGGCGAACGCCUGACGCAGCAACGCCGCGUGAGUGAUGAAGGUCUUCGGAUCGUAAAACUCUGUUAUUAGGGAAGAACAAAUGUGUAAGUAACUAUGCACGUCUUGACGGUACCUAAUCAGAAAGCCACGGCUAACUACGUGCCAGCAGCCGCGGUAAUACGUAGGUGGCAAGCGUUAUCCGGAAUUAUUGGGCGUAAAGCGCGCGUAGGCGGUUUUUUAAGUCUGAUGUGAAAGCCCACGGCUCAACCGUGGAGGGUCAUUGGAAACUGGAAGACUUGAGUGCAGAAGAGGAAAGUGGAAUUCCAUGUGUAGCAGUGAAAUGCGCAGAGAUAUGGAGGAACACCAGUGGCGAAGGCGACUUUCUGGUCUGUAACUGACGCUGAUGUGCGAAAGCGUGGGGAGCAAACAGG
Molecule: ribosomal RNA, 429 nt
Filed under: Actinomycetes bacterium
Lineage: Bacteria; Bacillati; Actinomycetota; Actinomycetes
Description: Actinobacteria bacterium partial 16S ribosomal RNA
Rfam family: Bacterial small subunit ribosomal RNA
Source: RNAcentral